Molecule: ribosomal RNA, 468 nt
Filed under: uncultured bacterium
Lineage: Bacteria
Description: partial 16S ribosomal RNA
Rfam family: Bacterial small subunit ribosomal RNA
Source: RNAcentral
GACGAACGCUGGCGGCGUGCUUAACACAUGCAAGUCGAACGGAAAGGCCCUGCUUUUGUGGGGUGCUCGAGUGGCGAGCGGGUGAGUAACACGUGAGUAACCUGCCCUUGACUUUGGGAUAACUUCAGGAAACUGGGGCUAAUACCGGAUAGGAGCUCCUGCUGCAUGGUGGGGGUUGGAAAGUUUCGGCGGUUGGGGAUGGACUCGCGGCUUAUCAGCUUGUUGGUGGGGUAGUGGCUUACCAAGGCUUUGACGGGUAGCCGGCCUGAGAGGGUGACCGGCCACAUUGGGACUGAGAUACGGCCCAGACUCCUACGGGAGGCAGCAGUGGGGAAUAUUGCACAAUGGGCGGAAGCCUGAUGCAGUAACGCCGCGUGCGGGAUGACGGCCUUCGGGUUGUAAACCGCUUCCGCCUGUGACGAAGCGUGAGUGACGGUAAUGGGUAAAGAAGCACCGGCUAACUACGUG